GUAUACUACGUCCAUGGACUGAGACACGGUCCAGACUCCUACGGGAGGCAGCAGUAGGGAAUAUUGCUCAAUGGGGGAAACCCUGAAGCAGCAACGCCGCGUGGAGGAUGAAGGUUUUAGGAUUGUAAACUCCUUUUGUUAGAGAAGAUAAUGACGGUAUCUAACGAAUAAGCACCGGCUAACUCCGUGCCAGCAGCCGCGGUAAUACGGAGGGUGCAAGCGUUACUCGGAAUCACUGGGCGUAAAGAGCGCGUAGGCGGGAUAGUCAGUCAGGUGUGAAAUCCUAUGGCUUAACCAUAGAACUGCAUUUGAAACUACUAUUCUAGAGUGUGGGAGAGGUAGGUGGAAUAUAA
RNAcentral lists this ribosomal RNA (353 nucleotides) under uncultured Helicobacter sp. RNAcentral's name for it is "bacterial SSU rRNA". It matches the Rfam family "Bacterial small subunit ribosomal RNA", at positions 300 to 671 of the family's 1533-position model. The record is from RNAcentral. Lineage: Bacteria; Pseudomonadati; Campylobacterota; Epsilonproteobacteria; Campylobacterales; Helicobacteraceae.